CCUCCCGGUUCAUAGGUUGAUGCUCAACCCCUGAGCCACGCUGGCUGGUCGGGCUCCGUCAUUUUCACACAGCAUCUGAGUCGCCCCACGCCUCACUCAGGACCACCGGCUCUUGGUGUUGAUUACACAGAGCAAACCCCCUGGGAAAGUCUGAACGUCUCCGGGGGCCAAGCCUCCCCUGACACAAAGGCCCAGGGCCCGGACAGUCUGUGUUAGGCCUUCAUUCCCCAGGCAACGUGGCUCCCUUGUCUUACCUCGGUCUUUGAUUGCCAUUCCUUCACAGUGUCAUGCUUUCUCCAAGCCCACGCAGAUGCCUCCUUAGCUGCUUUUGUCUUUAAACGGGUACGAAUGCCUGCCUUCCUUACUUCACAGGGUUGCCAUGGGGGUCGGGCACUUUAACCUUUGUGAAGUGAGCACUCACGGAGAAACAUGAGAGAGAGACUUUGGUCCAAAGGACCGACUCAGCUCUCGAACCAGCAGCUGGAAAGAGGUGGGAAUGAAGGAAAGGAUGCUUUUCAGGAAAGAGCAAGCGAGCGAACAGGACUCGGUGAGGGAGUGGCCACCGGGCACGCGCUGAACAAGGGAAAGAAGUCAGAGCCUGGUUCCUAUUGAUCAAAAUGGCCCAAGGCUGAGAGAGGAUGUCCUGUACCAGGACCCAUGCCGUUGUCAAGGUCGUGGAACGAGAUCACCCAGCCGCUCCCUCCCUGGACCUCGGAGCACAGGAUGGACACCAAAGGAGGAAGGGGGUCUGACACAAGGCAGGUUGUCUGUUGCUGAGAUCUGGGGACCACGUGGGAGGACCCGAGUGCAGCCCCAGCCAACAGCCGGCAAGAAGACAGCCUUCAUUUCUGGACCUGCAGGAAACUGAAUUCAGCCAACAACAAGACUCUCAUAGCCAGAAGCAAAGAUGAAACCUUAAGGCUUAUCAAAUGUCUUUCCUCCUAAAAAAAAAAAAAAGAAGAAGAAGAAGAACCAAAAUGACCUCAUUAGG
Molecule: long non-coding RNA, 991 nt
Organism: Myotis lucifugus (little brown bat)
Lineage: Eukaryota; Metazoa; Chordata; Mammalia; Chiroptera; Vespertilionidae
Exons: 2
Source: RefSeq, a predicted model, not a curated record